RNAcentral lists this ribosomal RNA (342 nucleotides) under uncultured soil bacterium. RNAcentral describes it as "bacterial SSU rRNA". It matches the Rfam family "Bacterial small subunit ribosomal RNA", at positions 26 to 373 of the family's 1533-position model. The record is from RNAcentral.
AGAUUGAACGCUGGCGGCAGGCCUAACACAUGCAAGUCGAGCGGUAGAGAGGUGCUUGCACCUCUUGAGGGCGGCGGACGGGUGAGUAAUGCCUAGGAAUCUGCCUAGUGGUGGGGGAUAACGUUCGGAAACGGACGCUAAUACCGCAUACGUCCUACGGGAGAAAGCGGGGGACCUUCGGGCCUCGCGCCAUUAGAUGAGCCUAGGUCGGAUUAGCUAGUUGGUGAGGUAAUGGCUCACCAAGGCGACGAUCCGUAACUGGUCUGAGAGGAUGAUCAGUCACACUGGAACUGAGACACGGUCCAGACUCUACGGGAGCAGCAGUGGGAAUAUUGGACAAGU